RNAcentral lists this small nucleolar RNA (99 nucleotides) under Leersia perrieri. RNAcentral describes it as "snoRNA snoR11". It matches the Rfam family "Small nucleolar RNA R11/Z151". Rfam says of the family: snoR11/Z151 is a member of the C/D class of snoRNA which contain the C (UGAUGA) and D (CUGA) box motifs. Most of the members of the box C/D family function in directing site-specific 2'-O-methylation of substrate RNAs. Lineage: Eukaryota; Viridiplantae; Streptophyta; Magnoliopsida; Poales; Poaceae. The record is from Rfam by way of RNAcentral.
GAGCUUCUGAUGAUUCAGGUAUGAAAGGAUCUUAGCGGAUUUCCGUGAGGCGAUUCUGUCACCGUUGAUCGCCUACUAUUGUUACAAACACUGAAGCUU